CCUACGGGUGGCAGCAGUGAGGAAUAUUGGUCAAUGGACGAGAGUCUGAACCAGCCAAGUAGCGUGAAGGAUGACUGCCCUAUGGGUUGUAAACUUCUUUUAUAUGGGAAUAAAAUGUUCCACGUGUGGGAUUUUGUAUGUACCAUAUGAAUAAGGAUCGGCUAACUCCGUGCCAGCAGCCGCGGUAAUACGGAGGAUCCGAGCGUUAUCCGGAUUUAUUGGGUUUAAAGGGAGCGUAGGCGGGGAUGCAAGUUGGGUGUCAAAACUACCGGCUCAACCGUAAAAUUGCAAUUGAUACUGGCAGUCUUGAGUACAGUUGAGGUAGGCGGAAUUCGUGGUGUAGCGGUGAAAUGCUUAGAUAUCACGAAGAACUCCGAUUGCGAAGGCAGCUUACUAAACUGCCACUGACAUUGAUGCUCGAAAGUGUGGGUAUCAAACAGGAUUAGAUACCCGAGUAGUC
RNAcentral lists this ribosomal RNA (460 nucleotides) under uncultured bacterium. RNAcentral describes it as "partial 16S ribosomal RNA". It matches the Rfam family "Bacterial small subunit ribosomal RNA", at positions 338 to 795 of the family's 1533-position model. The record is from RNAcentral.